CGAAGGCUGGGGCUGGCGAUGGGAGCAGGCUGGAGACGUCGAGGCAGCAGGAGGAUCAGAACCAGAAAAGACCUGCUGUCCUUUUACAUCACCGCUGCUCCUCACAGUCAGGUGCAGACAUCCCCCUCUGGGAACUGACUGUUACAGACCUGUCUUCUCCUGCUGGCCACGGAGUUCCAGGGCCCAAACAGGAAACUCUCACAAGUGUCACAUGGGGACUUAAAACCAGUAAGAAUGUCUAAGGAACCAACUAAUGGGUGUGAAAAGAAGAAAAAGGGAACCUGAAGGGGAGAAGAAGAGAAGCAAGAAAUGAAUUAGAAAUUUUAUGAAGUGAUUGAAAAUAGUAACUGUGACACUUUAUUCAUGUUAGUGAUAAAACCAUCUACUUUGACUUGGCAGGGCACCAGAUGACUCAUAUUCUAAGUUGACAUAUAAAAAAAUAAAUAAAUGUAAAUUCAGGUGCAAAUUAUACAGUAGGGAUGUUGAGGCAGUUGCCUGUUUUCACACUGUCCUGUUGGAUUCCCUUGCUGAAGAGAUGAUAAUGUGUGCUGAGGCUCAGGUAAACAAAAUAAACACAUUCUACCUCCCACAAAGUGCCACAUAUCCUUUACAGUAUUUGCAAUUUAAUUAUUACAAGCACUGAUUUCAAUCAGAUUCAAAAUCUCACUGUGUGUUAAAAAAAUUGUGUCUCCUUUAUUUCAUGUUAUUGCUUUUUAAUACCGCACUUUCCAUUUUUAAAAUGAAUGAAAAACAUUUUACUGUCAAAUAUUCACAAUAUACAAUGAAUAUCCCUUAAAUUAUUACUUCUUAGGAAUAUAAAGUAUGAGCAAUAGGAUUCAGAGGGGAAACGGAUGGUAAAUGACACAUGACACAGGAAUAUUACUCACAUUGACAUCCUCAGCACCUCAAGUCCAA
This is a long non-coding RNA of Seriola aureovittata, 915 nucleotides long. RefSeq lists it as uncharacterized. NCBI's taxonomy places the organism in Eukaryota, Metazoa, Chordata, Actinopteri, Carangiformes, Carangidae. The record is from RefSeq and is a predicted model, not a curated record. The transcript has 4 exons.